This 351-nucleotide long non-coding RNA is filed under the name Ananas comosus (pineapple). Its description in RNAcentral is "long non-coding RNA (ACOM_LNC030157)". Lineage: Eukaryota; Viridiplantae; Streptophyta; Magnoliopsida; Poales; Bromeliaceae. The record is from RNAcentral.
AAGAUCAGGCGUAUGGCAGAAACUCGCAACUUUCGACAUCCUUUGACCCGAGGAACUCGAUAGCAUUCUUAAUAUCGGUGAUCUUAAUUUAAAGUCGCAGGUACAUGGUGAAAUUAAAAAUGCAGGACAUAAGUUUUGUCAAAUUUUAUUAUUUGGAUUCCAAAUUAAAUCUUAUUAUGAUGCAUUAAGAUGAUUGAAUUGGUUGAUACACACAAACAUACAUCUCAUACAACUCGACUGCAAUCCGCAGGAGCGAAGGAUAAUAGUUUCUCUCUGACAUUGUACGAGAUACGGUGAUUGUAUUGGUAAUGUUCUCCGAGAAUGCUGAAGUUCGGAACACCUACUAUGCCG